UACGUAGGGGGCGAGCGUUAUCCGGAUUCACUGGGUGUAAAGGGAGCGUAGACGGCUGGGCAAGCCUGAUGUGAAAGGCGGGGGCGCAACCCUCGGACUGCAUUGGGAACUGUCCGGCUGGAGCGCCGGAGGGGUAAGCGGAAUUCCUGGUGUAGCGGUGAAAUGCGUAGAUAUCAGGAGGAACAUCGGUGGCGUAAGCGCUUUACUGGGCCGUAAUUGACGCUGAGGAACGAAAGCCAGGGUAGCAAAUGGG
RNAcentral lists this ribosomal RNA (253 nucleotides) under uncultured Eubacteriales bacterium. RNAcentral's name for it is "uncultured Clostridiales bacterium partial 16S ribosomal RNA". It matches the Rfam family "Bacterial small subunit ribosomal RNA", at positions 524 to 776 of the family's 1533-position model. Lineage: Bacteria; Bacillati; Bacillota; Clostridia; Eubacteriales. The record is from RNAcentral.